RNAcentral lists this ribosomal RNA (963 nucleotides) under Triticum aestivum (bread wheat). RNAcentral's name for it is "partial small subunit ribosomal RNA". Lineage: Eukaryota; Viridiplantae; Streptophyta; Magnoliopsida; Poales; Poaceae. The record is from RNAcentral.
AUGGGAGAUAUGAAUAACAUUUUGUAUGACGAUGAUAAGAACUCCCAGCAUGUUAAUAGUAAUCGUAUGCGCGCUUUUCGUAACAUUGUUAAAUCUUGUGGGUUUUUUGAUCUAGGAUAUAGUGGGCCUGCUUAUACUUGGACUAAUAAGCGAUAUUCUUCUGUGCCUAUCUACGAACGCCUAGAUAGAUGCUUGGUAAAUGCUGAAUGGUGUGCUUUAUAUCCGAUCACUAAUGUCUAUAAUAUGCCGAUCACUAUUAGUGACCACGCUCCCAUUCUUGUCUCCACUGAAGGUAAUUUCAGAAAGCCUUUGCAAACUUUUAAAUUUGAAAAUUGGUGGCUCAUGGAAAAGGAUUUUAAUGAAUAUGCCAAAGUUGCUUGGAAUAGUACUGCUCAUAGGCCUUUCUAUGCUAGAACUAACCACCUUGCAGGAUCACUCAAGAAAUGGUGCAAGAAGAAGAAAUCUCUAAAUCAGGAACUCAAUUCUCUGGAGGAACAAAUUAAGAAUAUUCAAAAAAAACCAUUGCAUGAGCAGGAUCACAACAUGGAAGCAACCCUUGUUUGCAGGUUUGAGGAAAAUUUAACGAAGCUCACUCAAUUUUAUAGCCAGAGAGCUAAGAAACAUUGGGCGACAAAAGGAGAUAGGAACACCAGUUUUUUCCAUCAAGCUGUUCUCAAAAGGAGGAGGAAAAACCAAAUAGUUUCCAUCAGGGAUAACAAAAAUAUUACUCAUUUUAACCCAGAUAAAAUUGCGCACAUAUUUGUAGACUAUUUUAAAGAAAUCUUCAAGUCUAACAAUGCAGAUCUUGGGAGGCCGUAUGAUGCAACAACAACAAACAAUGACAGCAGAGAUUGUACCAACACUAUCCCAGAUAAACAGGAGGUUUGGAGCAUUUUGAAGGAAAUGAAGGUCAAUGCAUCCCCAGGACCAGAUGGAUUCAAUGUGGCGUUCUACCAAGCGUGA